AUGGCUGCCCGCAAGCGACCUGCUGCCGUCCUCGACGCCGGCCACGGCCACGCCACGGCUCAACAUCAACAAUCGCCGACGUGCUGCAAGAGGAGCCGCGCCUCCAUCGGGAGCACCGACGACUACGAGAAGGUGGCCCGCCUAGGCAAAGGCGGCUUCGGCGUCGUCCACAGGAUGCGCCACCGCGUCACCAAAAAGAACGUGGCCGUCAAGUUCCUCUCCUCCCCCGACGUCGAAGAUCUUGAGCGGGAGGCGCGGUUCCUCGAGGCCUGCGACGGAAACCCUUACGUCGUCGGCUUCGAGGGCCUGCUGUGCGACCCGGCCACCGGCGACACCGCCGGCCUCGUCAUGGAGUACGUCGAGGCGUCGAGCCUCCACUCUUUAUUGUGGGACAGGCGCAGCGACCCGCCGCUCCCGGAAUCCACGGUGCGCGACUUCAUGUGGAAGCUCCUGACCGGUGCGGAAAAGAUGCACGGGCACGACCGCCACAUCGUUCACCGUGACAUCAAGCCAGCCAAUAUCCUCGUCGGGAGAAACGGGGAGCUCGUCAAGAUUUGCGACCUCGGGCUGGCCAUGUCCAUGUCCGGCUGGCCGCCGUACAACCGGGCCGGCACGACGUCCUACAUGGCGCCCGAGAUGAUCCUUGGCAAGAAGGACUACGACGCGCAAGUGGACACGUGGUCCAUCGGCUGCGUCUUUGCCGAACUGCUCACCGGCAAGACGAUGUUCAAGGGCUACCUCGAAGAUGACGACGAAGACAAGACGAAGAAUGACAUAAGGCAGCUGUGGAGCAUCUUCUGUGUGCUCGGGAUGCCGGACGAGAGGACGUGGCCAGGGUUCACCUCGCUGCCGCUCACCGCCGAGGCGCUGAGACGGCUGCCGGCGGGGUGCAAGUACAGCCGGCUGCGGUAUUCUUUCCCUGAAGACAAGCUAUCCGAGGAAGGAUUUCAGGUGUUGCAAGGGCUCCUCACAUGCAACCCCGAGAAGCGGCUGACGGCAGCCGCCGCGCUGAAGCACCCAUGGUUCGAUGCUCCUCGUUCCGCCGCUGCCGCCGCCGCCGCUGCGAAGGUCGACGCUCUGUCGUUUCCGAAAAAGAAGACACCAAGGAUCAAGUUCAUCCCGCCGGCCAUGCCCCAGAAGAAUCUACUCAAAAUCCCACUGGCCGUGUGGAACGCAGCGCAAAGAGUGUAA
RNAcentral lists this ribosomal RNA (1191 nucleotides) under Triticum aestivum (bread wheat). RNAcentral's name for it is "partial small subunit ribosomal RNA". Lineage: Eukaryota; Viridiplantae; Streptophyta; Magnoliopsida; Poales; Poaceae. The record is from RNAcentral.